GAUCCUCCUGCCUCAGCUGCCGAGUAGCUGGAACUACAGGGGAUUCUUUGGGAAGAUAAGAUCUCCAAAAUUUAGUCUUCAGUUGCAUCUGCAGAAUGCACUUAGUACAUGUUUCGUCAAUUCAAUGCUCGUUCGGAAUUUGGCCAGCAAAAGAGAAUGUGAAUGCACAGUGCAUGAUGGUGGACUGAGCUUUGGACAUCAACAGGGGAAUAAAAAUCAGUUCAGCUCUUGCUAAAAUAGUUUUCCAUUGUCUGAAUCAGAACUGAGCACAAAUGAGUCACCAAAGUUAAAGCUGAAAAAUAACUAAGUUGGGCUAAGAGUCCAAUAUGCCAAAGCCAAGUCUGUUAUACACUAUUUUAUGGAAUUAUGGGGAGAUAAAGAAGGUUUAGAAAAGAAUAAGGUGGAAGACUCUAUGUUGGGCUUGUGUGUGUAUAUCUCAUGAUGUUUUCAAAAGUACAUGGAAAACAUGAGAAAACUAUGCAUGUGUUUCAAUUUUUUUUUUUUUUUUUUUUUUUUUUUUUUUUUUUUUAUUUUUUUUUUUUUUUUUUUUUUUUUUUUGCCAAACAAACUCAUACUAACUUGUUAUAACAUGUCUGAAUAGGAUCUAGUGUGAGGCUCUCAGAAGGAUAACACAUCAGCUUGAAAAGAGCCCCUAUGAGAGCAAAUGAAUUUUGCUAAAAUUGAAGCAAAAACAAAUGUAUCAAAUUUAUGUUGACACUUGGGUAAAAGAAUGGUGAAAUCACUGAUGCUUAUGAAAACUUUAGGAGUAAAAUGCCCCAAAGAAAUCAGCAGUUUACAAAUGGAUAACUUGUUUUAAGAAGCAAUGAAAUGAUGUUGAAGAUGAAGCCCAUAGUGGCAAACCAUCCACAUCAAUUUGUGAAGAAAAAAUUAAUCUUGUUCGUGCCCUAAUUGAAGAGGAUUGACAAUUAACAGCAGAAACAAUAGCACCACAGACAACUCAAUUGAUUCAGCUCACACAAUUCUGACUGAAAAAAUCAAAGUUGAGCAAAUUUUUUACUCAACGUAUGCAAAAACCAUUACUCCCAGAUCAUCUGCAGACAAAAACAGAGUUUUCAAUGAAAACUGGAAACAAGUAACAUCAAGAUCCUGAAGCAUUUCUUUAAAGUAACAAGAGAUGAAAUAUGGCUUUACCAGUACAAUCCUGAAGACAAAGCACAAUCAAAGCCAUGGCUGCCAAGAGGCAUUAAGUGCUCUAGUCAAAGCAAAAGUAUACUAGUCAAGAGCAAAGAUCAUGGCAACAGUUUUGGCCAUGAUCAAAGCAUUUUACUUGUUGACUUUCUGUAGGGCCAACAAAUGUUAACAUCUGCUUAUUAUGAGAGUGUUUUGAAAACGUUAGCCAAAGAUUUAGAAGAAAAACACCCAGGAAAACUUCACCUGAGAUCCUCCUCCACCAUGACAAUGCUCCUGUUCAUUCCUCUCAUCAAACAAGAGCAAUUUUAUGAGCGUUCUGAUGUUAGGCAUCCUCCUUACAGUCCUGAUUUGGCUCCUUCUGACUUCUUUUUGUUUCUUUCCUCAGUUAAUAAUGAAAAAAA
Long non-coding RNA from Cebus imitator (Panamanian white-faced capuchin), 1553 nucleotides. RefSeq lists it as uncharacterized. The record is from RefSeq and is a predicted model, not a curated record. NCBI's taxonomy places the organism in Eukaryota, Metazoa, Chordata, Mammalia, Primates, Cebidae. The transcript has 2 exons.